Molecule: long non-coding RNA, 6772 nt
Organism: Monodelphis domestica (gray short-tailed opossum)
Lineage: Eukaryota; Metazoa; Chordata; Mammalia; Didelphimorphia; Didelphidae
Source: RefSeq, a predicted model, not a curated record
GAACGCGAGCCCGAGGCGGGGGGCGGGGGGAAAGAGUGCCUAUGACGUCACAGUAAGGCAGAGCCUGAAGGAACCUUCUGUACCCGAAAUAGAACAACCUGGAUUACGUCCCUCUUGAGGGUUUGUCUAGCCGCUGUUUGUCUACUGCCUUCAGUGAUAGGAAACUCAAUAGCGACCAUAGACAUUUCCAUAUCUCAUUUGCCUCCUUUUAACGCUCCCGAGUGCUCUUACCGGCUGCCCCUGACCAAGGAAAGGAACAUCAUCGAUUCCAUCCCUCGCGUUUUUGGUUAAGUCGUUUUUGGGCCUGUUCAACACUCCAUGACCCUAUUUGGAGUUUCCGUGGCGAAGAUCGUGAAAUGGUUGGCCAUUUCCGUCUCCAGCUCAUUUUGGCCAACAGUUAAUUUAAGUGACUUGCCCAGAGCCACACAGCUAGGAAGUGUCUGAGGUUGGAUUUGAACUCAUAUCUCCCUGAUUCCACCCCACCCCAUUCCUUCACUACCUAGGAAACUGAAGUCCAGAGAGGAAAAGUGUAAGUUCUGACCAGCAUUUGGGUUCUUUCCAUUCCCUAUACUCCACUUUUUCCAGUUGGCUGCUAGGGGAGUUUUAUGGGGAUUUUUAGGUUUUACAUUUUUGCAAACAAGCAUUUCUUUUUCUUCCUCCCUCCCAAUGGAGUCCCAGGAUCCUGACUCCUGACCAAACCAAAGGGAUACUCAGGGAAGAAAGACAAGCAGGUUCAGGGCAAAUUUGAGCUUGUCUAAGGUAGCCAGUAAGUCUGUGUGAAGGGACCCAGGUAAGAAAAACAGCUAUUAAAUGUUGCUUAGAUGGUCCUCCAAUCCAGUUAGAGCCCAGCGAGUUCAGUAUCUGUUCUCAUUGGGAUCCAGGCUUAGAGAUUGCUUAUUGGAGUCCAGUAUAAUGAAGAAUAAUGAGUUCUGAGGAUCAGGAAAAAGAGAGAAUUCUCUCCCCUGUCCUGAAGAUAGCACUUUGGGAAACUGGUUGAGUAAUUGAGAUGAAUUAGAAAACUAUAAUGGUAAGAGUAAAAAGAAAAUGAUUAAAUAACUUCUAAGUGUAUAUGCUAAUGACAAGACAAGUUCUGGUUACCUGACUGGCCUAUUCCCUCUUAGGGAUAGGGGUGUUGAAAAGGAGGAAAGUUCAAAGUGGGAUCUACUCAACUGCCUACCCUCACCCUGUAUUCUACCUCAACAGGUGGUAUAGAUUUUAGAGAAGGGGUGGUUGGGGGAGUUGAUUCUGCUCCUAGCACACCUCCAGAGGAAGGAAGGGGGCUGGAACUGUUAACUAGAAAUGUCCAAUAAUUCCUGUUCCCAGAAAAAGGAGAGGGGCAAAGAGAAAAAACUAAAGAAUUUUUUCCCCCUAUGGGAAGUCCCUUAGGGGGGAGGAGGAAUUGGCUAUGGAGAUGCUCCCUUCACUAGUUCCAAAGUAAGGAAUUCAAAGAAGGAAAUGAAGUCAUUAUUGGGAGACUCUAUAGGGCUUGCAGAACAAUUGGACCAAUUUCUGGGCCCUGGCCUAUGUUCUUGGAAAGAAAUUGAAAUUGAAUUAAAAGCAAUCAUGAACAUCUUCUUUUCCAGAGAGGAGAGGCAACAAAUUUGAAAGACUGCAAUGGAAGGUAGGGAAAGGCAUCAUGCACUUGGACCAGGUGUGGUAUCUGCUGGCCAAAAAUACCCUAAUGUAGAUCCAGUCUGGGAUACCAAUACUGAGGCCCAUCAUAACAACGUGAGAGAUUUGAGAGAACUGAUACAUGGGGUUAAAGAUCCAGAACCUAAAAGUCAAUAUUUGAAUAAGGCAUUUGAGAUUCAACAAGAGUCAGAUGAGUUCCCAUCUGCUUUCUUAGAGAGGCUGAGAAGUGGAUGUAGUGGUGAGGGGGAAUGGACCCUGUGGGCCUACUAGCUCAGGGGAUGCUCAAAAUGAAUUUUGAGUCACCAAAGCUUUCCCUGACAUAAAUAAGAAACUAAUAAAGAUUGAGGGAUGGUAAAUAGUCAGGGCCAAGAACUAGAGUACCACAAAUUAUUGAAAAGAGUUUUAGAAAGUCUGAUAGAAAUUUUGUUAAUGUUAAUGUACAUAUUAAUGGCCACCAAAGAUACUUUUGAGGUUAGAGAGGAAACAGCCUGGUGGAUGAGGAAGCUAAGAGAGUUGCUUUUUUAGAAGAACCUAAGGAAAAGUUGAUGGCCUUGAUACCUACUGUCCCAACUGAAAUAAAACCCCCCACCUUUCUCAAAGAAGGAAGAGGAAAAAAUUAAGGAGAUGGAAGCAGAACCCUCCACAGAAGGGAAAUGGGUGUCCCUCCAAUGGGAGGGUUAGGGUUAGGAAGGGUAAAAUAUCUUCUAGUAAUAGUGGAUCAUUUAACAGGAUGGGUUGAGACCUACCCUACCUCAAAAACAACUUCCCAAGCUGUGACCAAUACCAUCUUUGAACAACACAUCAUUCCAAGGUACAGGUCAGUAGAAAAUAUAGACUUAGACAACAGAACUCAUUUUACUACCAGAGCCCUUCAGUAUGUUAUGAGAGCCUUAGAAAUAAAUUGGGGCUUCCAUACCCCAUGACACCCACCUUCUUCAGGAAGGGUGGUAGGAAUAAAUCAGACCUUAAAGUAUAUCAAUUUCAAAAUUGAUCCUUGAGACCAAAUUUCCUUGGACAAAGUGUUUACCCAUAGGCCUGAUAAGGAUUAGGACUAUUCCUAGGAAAGAUACAGGGAUGUCACCCUAUGAAAUGCUAUUUGGAUACCCCAUCUGAGAAGAAAUUCAGAAUUCCCUCAGUUUGAAAGUAAUACGUUUAUAAGAAUACGUGCUCACACUUGUCUCUUUAUUCUGACAGAAGAGAGUAUUAGCCCAAACUCUACCUCUCAAGUUUCCUGUGCACCAGCUAAGACCAGGAGAUUGGGCACUAAUAAAGAUCUGAAAGGAGGAAAAACUGGACCCCAAUUGGGAAGAACCCUUUCUCAUGCUUUUAACAACUGAGACUGCAGUAAGGACAGCAGACAAGGGCUAGACAUACCACUCACACACGAAGGGCAAUGUAAAUGGACAGUAAGACAAGGAUCUGAUCCUUUGAAACUUAAAACUCAGGAAAGAGUAACAUGAACUAUUUAUAUUAUGUGCCUAUUUUUGCUCUGGUUUUUUUCUUGUUGUUGUAAGGAGAAGAGGAGCAGAGGUUAUGCUUUACUAGUAUUAGUGAGGAGGAAGGGCUUAUUAUAUUGGUACUUGUUUUACUAAGCAUCCUAUCCUUUACCGUCCUCCUUUCCUGGUAUUUCUGUCAAAGACAAAGAGGUAACAGGGACCAGUACAUUCCUUUGAAUUAAUGGCAUGGGAUCCAGGAAAGAGUGAUAACACAGAUUGGAUUUUGGAGGAAAGAUUGAUGACAAUGAGGGAGCUCCCAGAGACACCGCACAGAGCAUCCGGAAGACUGCGUACGGACCAGUACAGAAAUGGGAUUCUUGGCUUGAUAGCACUUGGUGGGAAUUGGUGGAAGCAGCUCAGUUUCUUUCUGAUUUGCGCUCUAGGGCCUUUGUUAAUAUUCCUUGCUUAAUACCCUGCAUUAUAGGACCGAGUCCAAAAACAGUUGAGAUUAUGCAGCUGUUAGCGUGGAUAUAACGCAGAACUACUAAAGUAGUCAGAAAAACCAAGUCUUUAAUCAGGGAAGAGAAGUCCAAUGAUCACCCCAAACUAUUCAGAGGCAACACCCUGGGAGCAUGCACCCUCUACAUGAUUUCUCCAAAGAACAAUAGAACUUGGGAAACUUCUAUACCUUUGGGAGAACUAAGGACAGGGAAGUAUGAUGGAUUGGCGUUACCAUGGCUACAAGGAAAUGAGAAGUCCAAGUCAGGAUUAACCGGGAGAGGCUGAUGCUUUACAAUGGACACAAAAGGGGAAAGUCCAUCCGAGAGCUGAGGUACCAGGGAGAGGACUUUGAUACAAUGGGAGAAACUACUAAAAGACAUUUGAUUUAGGUCUACCUAAAGGCCUAUUCUGUCUGAAAUGGGUGAGUUCUCAGGGGCCAGGGGCAGACUUGGGGUCUCCAGAUUUCAGAAGAAAUUUAUAACAUGGAAGGAGAGGAGUCCAACUAGCAAACAGAAAGAGGGGCAGGAACCUAUAAAAUUGUGGACUCCUCUCACAAAGAUGCAAAAUGGAGCCAAAGUAGGAAGACUUCAGGCCUUGUCACCUAAGUUUCCAUCAAAACAAGUUUCUUGUUCCCAACCUAAGCCCUAGUUUCCUCAAACCAAUGAGACACAAACUGAUUGAUAGGCUAUCCCCAUAAAAAGGCUAUAGGAUAUGCAGAUAGAUAGGAUUGAAACAGUCCUUGUUUUGAUUGGUUAAAGCUUGCUUGAAUAAUUAGGAUAAUUUAGUUUUUCAAAGUACUCCUGAUUAGCUAGCUUUCUGGGAAAAGAUUGUAACUCUCAAGUAACCAGCCAAUGGUGAAUGAGGGGAGGGACCAUCAGUAUCAAUCUCAGGGUCUAGGGUAAAAGGAGCCUGUGUGCUCCCAUCCUUUGUAUUUACCUGCUGGCUAAGCCUCUUGUAGCACUCACUUGGGAGCACCCAUUCUCUCAAAGAUGAAAUAAAAGAGCUUUUGACACAAUGAUAUGAAGUUCAAGAAGUUUUGAGUAAGGAGGUGGUUCCUCUUGGUUCCACUCCCUAUGGUUGUCUCUUUCCAAUUGGCUACUGUCCUGGGGGGAGUUUGAGGGGCUUUUUAGGUUUUACAUUUUUGCUAGCAAGCAUUUUUUUCCUUCCUCCCUCCCACUGGCAAAAAAGAAAGGUAAGAUUUUUGUAAUAAAUAUGCGUAGUCCAACAAAAUAAAGACUUGCACUGUUCAAGUCAAAAAUGCAUGUCUCAUUCUGAGUCCUGAUUUCCCUGUCAGGCUAGUCAGGUCUAUCUAUCAAGGGUGUUUGUCUCUACAAUGCUGUUGUCAUUGUAUAAAAUGCCCUUUUUCUGUUUACUUCCUUCUUCAUCACCUCAAACAAUCCCUUCUCCAAUACCCUCAAAUUCAUCUUUUGUUAUGGCUUGUAUGUAUGAGUACUUGCCCUUUGAUUUCCCCCUGGGCCAGAGGGUAUGUAUCUACAGUUUAGUGUCUUUGGGGAUAUAGACCCAGAUUGCCCAGUGCAGCUCACAACUACCAAGAGUUCAGUAGUAUCCCUGUAACUGAGACUCAAUAUUGAUUCUAAGAUGGAAGGUCAGGGGGGAGACAGAGACAGAGAGAAUGUCAUUGGCCCUUUUUAAAAGUGAAAGAAGAGGGGGCAGCUGGGUGGCUCAGUAGAUUGAGAGCCAGGCCUAGAGAUGGGAGGUCCUAGGUUCAAAUCUGAUCAUAUGUACUACACUGGCUUGACCUACCUAUGAGUAAUUCAUUUUCUUUUUCACAUUAUUGAAGUUUGUCUUCAUUUUUGUAAAGUGUGUUUUGUAAUUAUAUUCCUAUAUUUCACAAUUGUGUUUUGGCAGGUAGACUCCCAAGUAUUUUAUAUAUUCUAUUAUUAUUUAAAAUGGAACUUCUUUUUCUGUCUCUUCGUGAUGUUUUUUGUUGGCAGUACAGGAUGAUGCAAGUCUUAAUGAAACUUGAGAAUACAUCUUUAGAUACAGAAGUUAGGACAAUUUAUGUGAAUUUGCUUUAUCCUGCAACUUCACUGAAAUUGUUUCAAUUAAUAUUACUUGACCCUAGUUUUGUCUAAGUAAUUCCUCAUAUCAUCUAAAAAAUGAUCAUUUUGUUUCCUCUUCUCAUCUUAUUCCUCCAAUUUUUUUUCCUUGUCAUUGCUAUAGCUAGCUUUUCUGGCACGAUAUUAGGCAAUAGUGGUGAUAAUGAAUAUCUUUACCUUUAUCUCUGAUCUUACUAGAAAGGCCUCAAUUUUAAUCUUUUAUCCCAAUGACCAUAUUAAAGAAAGGCCAUUUAUUCCUAUGCUUUUCAGUUUUUUUAAACAGAAAAAGGAGUAGUAUAUUCUGUCAAAUGCUUUUUCUGCAUCCACUGACAUAGAAGCAUGAUUUUUUCCUUAUUCUUUUUUUUUUAAACCCUUACCUUCUGUCUUGGAGUCAAUACUGUGUAUUGGCUCCAAGGCAGAAGAGUGGUAAGGGUAGGCAAUGGAGGUCAAGUGACUUGCCCAGGGUCACCCAGCUGGGAAGUGUCUGAGGCCAGUCCUUAUUCUUAAUAUGGUCUAGUGCAAUAGUUCAGGCAUGAGACCAAAGAUAAUGAGGUUAGUUUUGGAUAUGCUUAGUUUAAGAUGUCUACUGGAUAGAAUUGACUUGCAAAUCCAUCUAAUUGCAGGGAUUUUCUUUGAGAGUUCAUUUAUGACUUGUCCAAUUUGUUUUCCUAAGAUUGUAAUUUAUACUUUCUACCUUCUUAUUUAUUAAUCUGUAUACUUUAUAUUUUUGUAAAUACUUGUCCAUUUCAUUUCAUUUGUUAGUUUCCAGUUGGGCAAAAUAGUUCCAAAUAAUUUCCUUUAUUUCUUCUUCAUGUGUUGUGAAAUUCUCCCUUAUAAUUUUUAAAAUUCUGGUACUUUGGUUUUCCUUAUUUGGAUUUCGUUUUAUAGAAGAAAAACAACUGCUUGAUCACCUGGGUCAAUGGGGAUAGGACUGGAGAAGUAGACUCUAAUGAUCCACUCUAGUGCAAAUAUCAAUAAUACGGAAAUAGGUCUUGAUCAGUGACACAUGUAAAACCCAGUGGAAUUGUGCAUUGGCUACAGGGGUUGAGGGGUGUGGGAGGAGGGGAGGGAAAGAACAUGAAUCUUGUAACCAUGGAAAAAUAUUCUAGAUCAAUUAAUUAAACAUUUUCAAAAGAAAAAAAA